GGGAUGACACUCUCCACCUUUUGUGUAUACGGAGGCUCUAGAAAUGCGCUUCGGCGUUCUUUACGACGAAGCCUCGGUCUUCUUGUCUAAAAUGAUGCUCAAUCGGCCUUAUUUUGCCGAUAGCUCUUGACCCACUGGACAAAUCGCAAUUCCGACUUCGCCCCCGCGUUUCGUUACCUAACAAUUAGGUUUACAUGGUCUCAAAUGAGAUCAAUCUCAUACUUUACCAAAAGCCCCCAUUUGGAGCCCUAGGGUUCCCAUCUUGCCAUUUGCAUUUUGGAACUCUAACUCUAGCUUCAAUCCACCAACAAUGGUGCUAGGGGUCCAUUUGACCCCAAUUCCAAAGCUCAAAACCCAAAAACCCUAAGUUUCACAACUAGGGCUAGAAGCUUACCUCUUAGGCUAGCUAGCUCCAAAGAGAGGAGAGAGAGGUCCACAGCUCUUCUAGC
This 449-nucleotide long non-coding RNA is filed under the name Ananas comosus (pineapple). RNAcentral describes it as "long non-coding RNA (ACOM_LNC038574)". The record is from RNAcentral. Lineage: Eukaryota; Viridiplantae; Streptophyta; Magnoliopsida; Poales; Bromeliaceae.